This is a small nuclear RNA of Otolemur garnettii (small-eared galago), 107 nucleotides long. The record is from Ensembl. NCBI's taxonomy places the organism in Eukaryota, Metazoa, Chordata, Mammalia, Primates, Galagidae.
GUGCUCAUUUUGGCAGCACAUAUACUGAAAUUGGAACGACUCAGAGAAGAUUAGCAUGGCCCCUGCACAAAGAUGACAAGCAAAUUUGUGAAGCAUUCCAUAUUUUU